Molecule: ribosomal RNA, 331 nt
Filed under: uncultured Actinomycetes bacterium
Lineage: Bacteria; Bacillati; Actinomycetota; Actinomycetes
Description: bacterial SSU rRNA
Rfam family: Bacterial small subunit ribosomal RNA
Source: RNAcentral
GACAAACGCUGGCGGCGUGCCUAACACAUGCAAGUCGAGCGCGAAAGGGACCUUCGGGUCCCCUGAGAGCGGCGAACGGGUGAGUAACACGUGGGCAACCUGCCUCAAGGACUGGGAUAACUCCGGGAAACCGGGGCUAAUACCGGGCGAUGUCGAUUCGCGCAAGCGGUUCGACCAAAUGGUAGCUUCGGCCUCCGCCUUGAGAUGGGCCCGCGUCCUAUCAGCUUGUUGGUGAGGUAACGGCUCACCAAGGCUACGACGGGUAGCUGGUCUGAGAGGAUGAUCAGCCACACUGGGACUGAGAUACGGCCCAGACUCCUACGGGUGGCUG